RNAcentral lists this ribosomal RNA (429 nucleotides) under Acidobacteriota bacterium. RNAcentral's name for it is "Acidobacteria bacterium partial 16S ribosomal RNA". It matches the Rfam family "Bacterial small subunit ribosomal RNA", at positions 355 to 776 of the family's 1533-position model. Lineage: Bacteria; Pseudomonadati; Acidobacteriota. The record is from RNAcentral.
UGGGGAAUUUUGGACAAUGGGGGAAACCCUGAUCCAGCCAUCCCGCGUGUGCGAUGAAGGCCUUCGGGUUGUAAAGCACUUUUGGCAGGAAAGAAACGUCAUGGGUUAAUACCCCGUGAAACUGACGGUACCUGCAGAAUAAGCACCGGCUAACUACGUGCCAGCAGCCGCGGUAAUACGUAGGGUGCAAGCGUUAAUCGGAAUUACUGGGCGUAAAGCGUGCGCAGGCGGUUCGGAAAGAAAGAUGUGAAAUCCCAGUGCUCAACUUGGGAACUGCAUUUUUACCUACCGGUCUAGAGCGUGUGAGGGGGAGGUGGAGUUCCGCGUGUAGCAGUGAAUUGCGUAGAUAUGCGGAGGAACACCGAUGGCGAAGGCAGACUCCUGAGAUAACACUGACGCUCAUCCACGAAAGCGUGGGGAGCAAACAGG